AAGAUCUUCCCUUGGGUCAAGCAGAGCAGCUUUCUAAUCCAUCUUCUAUGGGGGAGUCUUUCAUGGACUUGAAGGCAACUCUAAGUUUUCUCCUUCCUUGAGGAAUUACUGCAUGAAAUACUCUGAAGCUGCCACUUGGGUUUUAUAAACUGGAGA
This 156-nucleotide long non-coding RNA is filed under the name Monodelphis domestica (gray short-tailed opossum). RNAcentral's name for it is "lncRNA (ENSMODG00000050843.1)". Lineage: Eukaryota; Metazoa; Chordata; Mammalia; Didelphimorphia; Didelphidae. The record is from RNAcentral.